AAUUGAAUAUUGGAAAUAGGUGCUUACCUGCUGCAAGCGUGUACAGGCAAGCUUAAAAGGGAAGUUCGGUGUAAAACCGACGCGGUCCCGCCACUGUCAUGGUUGAGUCACCGCAAGACGCCACUGGUUGAGUUUCAACCGGGAAGGCUGCUGGUGACGAUGAGACCUAUAGCCAGGAGACCUGCCUGUUUCAACAGCGCUGU
RNAcentral lists this non-coding RNA (203 nucleotides) under Paenibacillus sp. The record is from RNAcentral. Lineage: Bacteria; Bacillati; Bacillota; Bacilli; Caryophanales; Paenibacillaceae. RNAcentral also lists the same sequence under 1 other name.